Molecule: long non-coding RNA, 2926 nt
Organism: Equus caballus (horse)
Lineage: Eukaryota; Metazoa; Chordata; Mammalia; Perissodactyla; Equidae
Source: Ensembl
UACCAUUUACUAAAAUGAGAAAUGUUAGGGAAUGAGCAGACAGAUUUGAAGGGUGGGAAGUAUCAAAGAAAUAUCAAGAAACCAUUUUUGAACUUGCUAAUCUUAAUAUCUGUGAGUAACCCAAAUUGAAAAGAUUAGUUGGCUGUUGAAUACAUCCUUGCAGUUUGCUGAAUUUUUUGGAUCUAUUGAUUGUCAUUUUUCAUUAUAUUUCAUCAUAUUUCAUGUCUCUUGAAAUAUUUAUUCUGCUCCAUUGUCCAUCUUCUUUUUGUCCUGUUAGAAUUGUUGAUAUUAUUCCACAAACCAUUGAGGCUCUGUUCACUUUUUUUUCAUUUUUUCUCUGUGUAUAAGUUUGGAAAUUUCUAUCUACCUGUCUUCAAUUUCACUGAUACUUUUCUUCUGAAAGCCUUUCCUAUUUUAAUUUCAGGUAUUGUAUUUUCAGUUCUGGGACAUCCAUUUGGUUCAUUUUCAGCUUCCAUAUAUUUUCCGAAAUUUUCCAUAUCUUUACUCAUCCAUUUUUCCUAUGAAUUCUUUAAUAUACUUAUAAUAGUCAUUUUAAACUUCUUGUUUGCUAAUUCCAAUAUCUGGUAUGUCUGUGUGUCUGCUUUUAUUGACUGAUUUUGCUUUUGAAUGUGGUCACAAUUUCCUGACCCUUUACAUGUCCAGUAAUUUUCAUUGUACAUUGAAUGAUAUUUUGUAGAGACAUUGGAUUUGCAGUCUUCCUCUGAAAAAUGUUAGUUCUGUUCCAGAAAGCAAUUAAAUUGCUUGUGGAUCCACUUGAUCCUACAGAUGCUUUGUUUUUAGUUUCGUUAGAGUGGCUGUAAUUCAAUUUUUCUCUCAGCUCCAAGGCAUAGACUUUUGGGAAUGAUUCUUCUUACUAUAAGAUGUGACCUUUCUGGAGCAUCAGUGACAAACCCUAGAUUUAAGUCCCCUAAUUAGGCAGGACUUGAAUCCCAAACUGUGUCUCCCUAAUGCCAGGCAGCUACUGAAAUACCUGUUCAGCAUUUUACCCUUCCAACUAUUGCUUUCUGCUGGGUGUGUUGGAGUCUCACUCUAUAUGUAUGCAGCCAGAUUUUGGAAUAGUUCACGUGCAGACUAGGAGGCCACCCCUUUUGUGGUUUCAUACUUUCAUGCACUUACCUAUCCUCACCAAUUUCUAGCAGCCCUGAACUUUGACCUCAGACUUCUGUUUGAGCAAACUGGAAAGUGCUAUCACAGGAAAAGCCAGUUAAAUGUGGAUCUCAUCCAGUGUGCUUCUAUUCUUGAAAGCAUACUAUCAGCUCCAGUCUCUGCCUGCUUUUAGUUGAUAUAGAGAGAGGCAUGGAAAUAGACAUAGAUAUAUAGAUAUAUUUGUUUUUCCAGAGUUUAUAAUUGUUAUUGGCAGGAAACUUAGUCCAAUAUACACUAUUCUGACACACAACCAUCAGAAUUCUGGUAGUUGAAUGGAUGAAUCUUGAUUUCAGGAAAGAAUUCUGAGCAGAAAUAUAAAAAUUGAUAUUUAUCAAUGGGAGAAACAGUCUAGGAAAGUGCUUCUCAUUAUUGGUUUCACGUUAGAAUCUCCUGACAAAAUUUAAUAAUCUAUUUGGCCAGACUACCCCAAAUCAACUAAAUCAGAAUCUCUGGGGAUUGGACCCGAGUAUCAGUAUUUGUUAAAGCCCCACAGGUGAUUUAAAUGUGCACCUAGAAUUGAGAACUGCUGAACUCAAAAGAGGGCAAAGGGUAAAAGAAGAAGUAGAUUCAGAUCCCAGGCUUAUUCAGCAAAGGAAACUGAGAAGGAACAACCAGAGGAAGAUAGGGUCAUAAAAGGCAAGAGAGGAGAGUGUUUCUCUAAGCAGGAAGAAGUCAUCAAACGUGUUAAAUGCUCAAGAACCAUGUGAAGCGAUAUGAAUCCACUUUUGCAAAUGAAGAAUCUGAGCCUGAAGGAAGAUUAGAGACUUGCUCAAGAUUUUACAGGGCAUGCACCUACUAUGUGCAAAGUAUUACGCUGGGACUGCGUGGAAGAACACAAUUUUUGAUGACCUAGUUAGCCAGGACUACUCCAAAUCCUAAAGCAGAAUCCCUGAUAGUUGAACCCAGACAUCAGCAGUUGUUAAACCUCCCCAGGUAAUCUCAAUAUGCACCUAGAAGAGAUGACAAACUCCAGCGUAGUGUGAAACGGAUACAGCAAUAACAAGAGCCAAAUGUUCGUAAUUACUUAUCAUGGGCCAGGCAACAUGCUAAGCUCUUCAAUUGGAUAAUCUCCUUUCAUCUUCAAAACGACCCAGUGAAGACGGUAUUAUUGUUAACCAUUAUCUUCAUUUUUUAAAUGAGAGAAAUAUGGCUUUCUUAGAGGCUCCAUAGUGUGUCCAAGGUCAGUGGAAACCCCAAAUUUCUGACUCCAGAUUCCUUGUCCUAGCCACUAGAUUAUACUGUCUCCCCACAAUAAAGCUAAAUAAAAGGGAGACUCUUUUGAGGACUAUUUUCUGAAAGUUAAAUUUGGAAGAUAAUUGGGGUAAAUCUAGCUCAGUACUUUGAGUAAAUGAUGCUUUGUCCAGUGAAGAAAAAAGACAGAGAGAAUAGAGAACGAUAAAAAGUUAGCUCCAGAUGAAUUAAGGUCCCUUCUAUGAUCUCCUUUGAAAUUGAGAAAAGUGUUUUGAUGAGGACCUAUUAUAUACCUUAGCAGCCCUGAGGACAGCACGGUCCAUAGCUAUCUGGAAAGAGGCUCCUGUAGUAGAUCCCAAGGUAAAUAGACAGAGGAGCAUCUGGUGUCAUCAGAAGGGGCAGCAUCCUGGAGAGAAUGGAGUGGGAGGAUGGAGUAUUCAAUGGGAUUCUGGAACAUCAGAAAAGUAUGAAACCUGAGUGGAGGACCCAUGCAUAUGUCCAAGUUUCAUAUACCGAGGAAUUAUCGAUGCAUAAACCUAGUCUGCCUGCUUAAUGUUUGUCUUAUAUG